UGGAUUCCUUGGGAUUCCUUGAGAUUCCUUGGGAUGGAUUCCUCAGGAUGGGUUCCUUGGGAUUCCUUGGGAUGGAUUCCUCAGGAUUCUUCAGGAUGGAUUCCUCGGGAUGGAUUCCUCGGGAUUUGUCAGGAUUCCUUGGGAUGGAUCCCUCAGGAUUCCUUGGGAUGGAUCCCUCAGGAUUCUUCAGGAGUUUUUGGGAUG
RNAcentral lists this long non-coding RNA (204 nucleotides) under Zonotrichia albicollis (white-throated sparrow). Its description in RNAcentral is "lncRNA (ENSZALG00000009798.1)". Lineage: Eukaryota; Metazoa; Chordata; Aves; Passeriformes; Passerellidae. The record is from RNAcentral.